Long non-coding RNA from Homo sapiens (human), 4142 nucleotides. Ensembl annotates it as negative regulator of antiviral response. Its record names the gene NRAV. Lineage: Eukaryota; Metazoa; Chordata; Mammalia; Primates; Hominidae. The record is from Ensembl.
ACCGCUCACGGCGUCGGUUGCCCGGGCAAUGGGCCGCACGCUACGAGGCCCACACACCCAGAAGGUGGAGCCCCGGCCGGGUUACGAGGACCACCCAGCUGUCUGGAGAGAUGAAGAAAAUGAGGUUCAAAGAGAUGAAGUCUCUUGCCUAAAGUCAGUGACAGAAAGUGACAGAGCUGGGAUGUGAAUCCUGGUCUGACUCUACAGUCCCACAUGGUAGAUGGAACCUCCGAGCAACACCUAAACAAAAGGAGUUGAUGCCUCCGAACAGAGUAAUGUCGCUGGAGACACUAAGCAUCGUCGGCCCCUGGCAGGAGCUCCCUAAAUAUGUGUUGGAUGGAUGGAAGAAAGGAUGGAUAGUUCAGAGUACUUCAGCCUUGAUUCCUCCGCAACAGACACCUGAAACUUGACCCUACAUUGGUUCUUGGCCAUCGUGAUCUUCCUUGGACAGAAUCACCUUUCAGCUCCGGUCAUCAGACUUUCCCAGGGCCCUCAGAAAGCCCUUCAGAGUUGUUACUCACAGGCAGGCUGAGGGAUUCCUUACGGGGUCUGCAGCUCUCCUCACCUCAUCCACAAGUAGGACCGUGGCCUGUUCCUCACUACUGCCCCAGGAUCACUCUGUUCCCAGCCCAGUCCAGCAAUCACUUGUCUAGCUUUCUGGAACCUUGAGUACUUUCUUGAACCAUGAGUCCUGUGACCACCCUAGCAGCUCUAACCCUCCCUUAUCUGAAAGGAAGUGUGAGGUGACCUUGCAGGUCCCAGAGUUGAUUGAAGACCCCAUCCAGAAAGAAGGCACCCUGUGGGAGAGAUUGCAAGGCCUAGGUCUGAAUCCGGAAGCUUCCACCCCAUGGAGAAGGGCUGGCACCAGCCUGGGGCUGGCAGUGGAGCUGAGCUUUGGAGCCAAGGACUGUACUGCAGUGCAGGGAGAGUGAGGCCAGAAAGGCUGAGACAACUCAGGGAAAGAAAACCUCCCUUCUGGCUAAUAGUCAAGCACCGCCUGAGUAGACCAACACUCUCCUGUCCACAGGGGCAGCAGAUGAAGACACAACCAGAGAGGACUAACAGGCCCCCUCAGCUCUCAGUCAGAGGGCAGAGCAACACAGAAUAGACAUUAAAGGAACAGACUUUGAGGCCAGGCAGCCUUGGGUGUGCAUCUGUCCCUACUAAGCCAUGUGACAUUAAACAAGUGAGUCCACCUCUCUGAGCCUCAGGUUCCUCAUCUGUAAAAUGGGGAUUAUAAGAGUUCUUGUUUCUCAGGGACAAUGUGAGGAUUAAGUGAGAUGAUACACAUAGAGAAUGUGGUGCAGUACUGGGCACAUGGCAAAGAUCAGUGAUGCUAGCUACCACUUAUCAUUAGUGUUCCUGUAGACCAGGACUUCUCAACCUUGGCACUAUUCACCUUUUGGGCCAGAAAGUUUUUUUUGUUGUUGUUGUGGGGAGCUGUCCUAUGCAUUUGAGGAUGUUUAACAGCACCCCUGGCCUCUACCCACUAGAUGCCAAUCACACCACACCCCCAGUUUCAACAACCAAAAAUGUCUGCAGAUGGUGCCGAAUGUCUUCUGGAGGGUGAAAUCACUCCCCAGCAGUUGAAAAGCACCACCCUAAACAAUCUGGACUGAAUUUGAAUGUCACAGAUCCCAAGCUCACAGCUCCAUGUAAAGGCCACAAGGCAGGCAGGCCUACUUGCAGAUGAAGGAACGGAAAGAGCAACAAUUACAGAUCAAGCGGCUAGCUCCGGUGUAGACUAAGAGGCGGGAUCUGUAGUCUGCUCUAGGAGCUAACAAGGCCUCUGUGACUCAGUAGGUGACCUCAGUGUCACUCUUUAAUUAUAUGCAAAGUGGUCUUGUGUUAACUCUUAAUUAUUCUAGGGCUCCAAACAAGAAAAUAGGUAGUUGGUAUCUGAUUUCUGGCAUCAAGAUCCUGAUUCAUUGACUGGGAGAAAAUCUGACUCUCCAAAACUCUUUCAGAGUUCAUUUAGCCCUUCAUUUAUGACUCUGGGGAGAUUUCUGAGCGAGAGCUAGGUGUCAGGCCCUGUUCCAGGUGCUGGAGAUGCACAAGAGAACAAAAUAGGCAAAGUUUCCUUUUUAUGGAACUUAUAGCAGGAGAAUAAAGAUAAAAACAAGCAAAAAUAUUUAUCUCUGAUAAGGGCAAUGGAUAAAAAUAAAGUAGAAUAGGCCAGGCACGGUGGCUUACGCCUGUAAUCCUAGCACUUUGGGAGGCCAAGGCGGGCAGAUUGCCUGAGCUCAGGAGUUCGGGACCAGCCUGGGCAACACGGUGAAACCCCGUCUCUACUAAAAUACAAAAAAUUAGCUGGGCGUGGCAGCGUGCACCUGUAGUCCCAGCUACUUGGGAGGCUGAGGCAGGAGAAUUGCUUGAACCUGGGAGGCAGAGGUUGCAGUGAGCUGAGAUCGCGCCACUGCACUCCAGUCUGGGUGACAGAGAGAGACUCCACCUCAAAAAAAUUUAAAAAAGUAGACUAAGAGAACCAAGCAUCGCUGGGUGAGGGGUCUUGUUUUAAAGAGUUUUCUAGGAAGACCUCUCUGAGAAGGCACCAUUUGAGCCAAGACUUGAUGACCUGGCUACUGCAUGAGGAUGGAAGGUGGGGAAGCUGAUGGGAGCAGCGAGAGAGGUGGGAGCAGUUAGAGGCUAUUGCAGCAGUCCAGGUAAGAAGGAAUGGUGGCUUGGACAAGGAGGUGGUAGCAGAGAUAGGGCAGAGAUGGCCAGAUUCCAGAUGUAUUCUGAAGGUAGAGCUGACAGAUUUGCUGAGCAAUUGGAUGCAGAAUAGGAGGGAACCAGAGGCAGUCAAGGAUGACUCCAGACUUGUGAGCUGAACAAUGAGAAGAAUAGAUUGAGAUGGGGAAGUCUGGCAGAGGAAACAAGAAGUUCUGCUUUGGCCAUGUUAAGUUUGAGAUGCCUAUUAGAUAUUCCAAGUGGAGAUGUCAAAUAUGCAGUUGGAUAUAUGAGUUCUGGGAAGAGGGCCAGCCUUGAGCUAUAAUUUGGAGAGUCAUCAGCUUAUAGGUGACAUUUAAAGCAAUGGGACUGGAUGAGAUCACCACUGAGGGCGGAGUACGUGUAGAUGGAAGUAAUGCUUAUUCAGCUAGCAAUAUUCUCUGAGCGUUUACUAUGGGCCAGGCCCGGAGCUAGGUGCUAGGUACAGAGAUGGACUUCCUUUGGCACCUGCCCCAGAGAAGCUCUAUUACUUACUUAAUUUUCCUGCCUAAGUGCUUUGGCCAUGUAGAGGAUGAGCCUUGAGUUCCUACCCUGUCUUUUAGUCACUUAGUCCUUUUUUUCUCUUUUUUCUUUUUUUGAGACAGAGUUUCGUUCUUGUUGCCCAGGCUGGAGUGCAAUGGCAUGAUCUUGGCUCACCACAACCUCCGCCUCCUGGGUUCAAGCAAUCCUCCUGUCUCAGCCUCCUCAGUAGGUGGGAUUACCGGCAUGCACCACCACAUCGGGCUAAUUUUUUGUAUUUUUAGUUGACAUGGGGUUUCUCCAUGUUGGUCAGGCUGGCCUUGAACUCCCGACCUCAGGUGAUCCACCCGCCUCGGCCUCCCAAAGUGCUGGGAUUACCUGCGUGAACCACCGCACCCUGCAUCAUUUUUUCAGCAGACAUUUGUUGAGCACCUGCUUGAUACAAGGCACCCAUCUAGGCACAAGGGACAUGAAAGGAAGCGAGUCAGACACAGUUCCUAUCCUUUUGGAGUUUAGAUUUUAUGUGUGGAGACAGACAUUGAACAGGAUGCACACAGGAUCACAGGAUGUGACAAAUGCAGUGGAGGAGAAAGAUAGGCUGGUGUGAGAGCUGUUAAUGGGGGCUCUGCUCUAGCCGGAGAGGCAAGGAAGGCUUUUCCAGGAGUCACAUUAGAGGAACAAUCUAUACAAGCAGGGAACUAGGCUGGGGGAAGUGCAGGGAGCUUUUUAGGUGGAAAGAACAGCAUGUUCAAAGGCCUGAAGCUGGAAGGAGGCUGGCUGACUUGGCUCCAGAGAAGCUGUUGGGGGAGUGUGGGAGAGACAAGACAGGGAGUAGGGGUGGGGAGAAGCCAGACCUUUGGAGUCUUGUAAGUCUGGUUAAGACACGUGGACUGUCUUCUGCGGCCACCAGUGGCUCUGUUGAGGUGGGAAAUUAAAGAAAAGCAAAAUUAAAA